This 405-nucleotide ribosomal RNA is filed under the name uncultured bacterium. Its description in RNAcentral is "partial 16S ribosomal RNA". It matches the Rfam family "Bacterial small subunit ribosomal RNA", at positions 30 to 526 of the family's 1533-position model. The record is from RNAcentral.
AUUGAACGCUGGCGGCAGGCCUAACACGCAAGUCGAGCGGAGCGGCGGACGGGUGGGUAAUUCCUAGGAAUCUGGGUGGUAGUGGGGGAUAACGUGAUGAAACGGGGACUAAUACCGCAUUCUAUCAGAUGAGCCUAGGUGGGAUUAGCUGGUUGGUGGGGUAAAGGCCUACCAAGGCGACGAUCCGUAACUGGUUUGAGAGGAUGAUCAGUCACACUGGAACUGAGACACGGUCCAGACUCCUACGGGAGGCAGCAGUGGGGAAUAUUGGACAAUGGGCGAAAGCCUGAUCCAGCCAUGCCGCGUGUGUGAAGAAGGUCUUCGGAUUGUAAAGCACUUUAAGUUGGGAGGCGUUACCAACAGAAUAAGCACCGGCUAACUUCGUGUCAGCAGCCGCGGUAAUAC